GGUAGUCUGUGAUGUUCGCGUUAGACCACUUCAGUGUUGACCGAACAUAUUAGUAUUAUAUUGGGAUUCAACGAGCCCAAGAAGAAAACAUGCCUUAUCACUUGGUAGUUUGACGCUUGGACAGAGAAGCCCACCUGCUUACUUUGCGGGUUCAAUACUACGGUUUAACUAACGGCAUCGACGGAUUUUCC
This is a non-coding RNA of Vagococcus lutrae LBD1, 191 nucleotides long. It matches the Rfam family "6S / SsrS RNA". From Rfam's summary of the family: E. coli 6S RNA was the first non coding RNA to be sequenced, but its function was unknown until recently. NCBI's taxonomy places the organism in Bacteria, Bacillati, Bacillota, Bacilli, Lactobacillales, Enterococcaceae. The record is from Rfam.